GGCAGGAGAAGCAGGCAGGAGGAGCAGGAGGGAGAAGCAGGAGGAGAAACAUUGUUAAAAGGCUCCUGAAUAAACUGCUAAAAGGAAGAGCUCAGGUCGCGUCUUUCUUGGCGGUCGAGGUGGAUGCGACAGUUGGUGGCCCAGGCAGGGAAGGAGAAACCUCUUGAGACUCAGAACCUUUUGCAGUCAGGGUAGCCGGCUUGGAUCGUUUGGAGCCUCUGUGGGUCCCUGAGCGAUUGACACGGAAGUGUGCCACACAGAAUGGAGAGAUCGUGCCCAAGAGCCCUGUGUACCCUUCUUCUUCUGUUCCUGGUGGAGAGCCAAGCGGAGCCGAGAUGGGGGAUUCUGUCGGUGUUUCCAAGACCAAUGCCGAUAUGACAUAAUGCUCGAGUGUUUCCUCUCUUUUUUAGUACCAAUAGAAGUUUAGAUGUU
Mastomys coucha (southern multimammate mouse) is the source of this 432-nucleotide long non-coding RNA. RefSeq lists it as uncharacterized. The transcript is spliced from 2 exons. NCBI's taxonomy places the organism in Eukaryota, Metazoa, Chordata, Mammalia, Rodentia, Muridae. The record is from RefSeq and is a predicted model, not a curated record.